CCUACGGGGUGCAGCAGUGAGGAAUAUUGGUCAAUGGACGAGAGUCUGAACCAGCCAAGUAGCGUGAAGGAUGACUGCCCUAUGGGUUGUAAACUUCUUUUAUAUGGGAAUAAAAUGUUCCACGUGUGGGAUUUUGUAUGUACCAUAUGAAUAAGGAUCGGCUAACUCCGUGCCAGCAGCCGCGGUAAUACGGAGGAUCCGAGCGUUAUCCGGAUUUAUUGGGUUUAAAGGGAGCGUAGGUGGAUUGUUAAGUCAGUUGUGAAAGUUUGCGGCUCAACCGUAAAAUUGCAGUUGAAACUGGCAGUCUUGAGUACAGUAGAGGUGGGCGGAAUUCGUGGUGUAGCGGUGAAAUGCUUAGAUAUCACGAAGAACUCCGAUUGCGAAGGCAGUUCACUGGACUGCAACUGACACUGAGGCUCGAAAGUGUGGGUAUCAAACAGGAUUAGGUACCCCUGUAGUC
Molecule: ribosomal RNA, 460 nt
Filed under: uncultured bacterium
Lineage: Bacteria
Description: partial 16S ribosomal RNA
Rfam family: Bacterial small subunit ribosomal RNA
Source: RNAcentral